Long non-coding RNA from Phascolarctos cinereus (koala), 3055 nucleotides. The record is from Ensembl. NCBI's taxonomy places the organism in Eukaryota, Metazoa, Chordata, Mammalia, Diprotodontia, Phascolarctidae.
AUCAUCCCCCUGCAGAGGCCAGCUCCAAGAGCAAGAUGCAGCACCCUUCAGACACCCUGGAGUUGACCAGGCUACUCCCAUUGAAGUUCGUGAAGCUAUCUGUCCACAACCGGGAAAAGCAGCAUCUUCGCCUGAAACUGGCCAGUGGGCGAUCCUUCUAUUUGCAGCUGUGCCCACCCUCCGAUGCCAGGGAGGAUCUCUUCUCCUUAUGGGAGAAGCUCAUCUACCUCCUUCGGCCACCUGUGGAGGGCUACAGCAGCACCCACGCCAUUCCUGCUGGGAAGGGUCGAGGUGCCUGUUUUCAGUGCGGAAGAGGAAUCUCCUGUGAGUUGAGCCACAGAAGGACUCAAUUUGGGCCUUGCCCGACCUGCCUCUGAGGGCCUGUCUAGAUCAUUCCAUUAUAUUCUCUACUCAGCUAUGCUAGAAAAUGCGGGUGAGGGGGAAAUGGUGAAUGAUUUGAUCACUGUUCUUGCCCCAGGCCCUUUCAGCAGUGACAAUGUCUGGAACUAACACAUCCCGGUUCCUGCUUAGGCCUCUGUCCUAGGGUCCACAGGGUAGCAGGAAGGACUUGAUUGCCAAGCCCCCAAUCCUGACCAGGGGGAGUGGGGGGAGGGAGUUGGCAAAGAUAUGCCUUCUUUUAGGAAUCAGCCCCCACGCCCCCCCCCACCCUAUGCACACUCACAACACACCAGAACAGACACAUGUGUUCCAGGUCCUGGAAUUCCCUGGGGCUUCCUCAGUUUCCUUCUCCAUUAUAGUGGGGUAGGAGGAGGGCUCCUGACCCUAGGAUAUUUAUGACCUGACUUUGACCCAGGCGGCCUCUAACUAUCCUCUUGUGUCUCUUCUGCCCCUGGCACUAGGGACCCCAGCCCCAGGAGCCUAUUCCGCAUGAAGGGGAGCAGGAUAAAGUGAGCAUAAAGAGUCUUGACGUUCCUGGCCGGGAUAGGAUGUCAGUGCAGCCAGAAAUAAUCACGGCGGCUGCUGCUGAGGAGGGCUUCCCUAGUCCAGGAGGCACCGAGACGGAGCUGCUGCCCCCACACUACACCAUCCACGGGGUGCCCAGUGUGUCCCCUCCCAGUACCCGGUCUGUUACAACCGUUGCUAUGGCAGCUGCCGCCAGCAAGGGGCCUGCCAGUAACGCCAUGGCCGGGGCCCCCGCGGGAAUGGGGACAGCUACAGCAGGCAGCCAGGGGCCUGGCCUAAGUGUAGCCCUGGCUGGGACUACAACUGGGCAGGUAACAGAGACGGCAGGUAACACGUGGGCAAGCAGUGGGAGUCUAAUGCUGGCUGGCGCUGCCAGUAUGUCCUCAGGCACCAGCAGCCUGAUCCCCUCGGGCCACAUGAGCAUGGCCUCUGCUGGAGCCGGGAGCUUCGUUGUAGCCCGCCUAGGAAGCGUCACCCCCCUCGGGCCCGAGCGCCCCCUUGUGUCGACCUUGCACACUGAGGGCUACAUGAGUGAGCGGGACGGAAGUCAGAGGGUGGCCAUGGCCAGCCCCAAGGUGGCCAAAAAAGACACGUCAUCGAGGAGGCACUCCCGGCACCGGAAAGGCCAAGCUCGCAGACGAGCCAAGAGGGAAGGUGGCAGCGGCCAGAGGAGGUCAUCCCGGCAGGCUGCGACUUCCAAGGAGACUCAGAAAUCCAGCCGCCACAGCCCGUCUUCCCGCAAAGCCACCAGCCGCAGUCCCUCCGUAAAGGAUUCCAGUGCUUCCAGGACCUCUGACAAAGGAGGGAUGGAUAAAAGCUCAGCCAAGAAACACCCCUUGUAAGCCACUUUCUGAUUUUCCUCUGUUCUUCCAGCUAAUGCCAUGUUCCAGAAGAUGGGAGGAGGGAGGGGUGAGGGGUGAGGGGGAGGAAGAGACUAAGGCAGAACUAAAGCAGCUGUCUCUCUCAGUGACUCCUCUUUGUCUCCCCAUUACAGCCACUGCCUCAGCUAAGAAACCCAGCCAUAUUGCCUCAUUCUUGGGAGGUUUCUCUCUCUCUAAGCAGAGUGCCAAAAGCACCUCAGUCCUCACAUGGGGGAUACAGCUAAGGCCACUAAAGCCUCAACCACAGAGAUCAACAGGAGCACCAUUGUGGAGAACGUGGAGCAUGUGGAGAUAGAGCUGGAGACUAUCACAGACAUGUUCUCACUGAUGGCGGUGGUGGAGGAGAAGCAGGGGGUGAAGGGGGAGGGAGGGUGUAAGGCAGAAGAUUAUUUACCAUUUUACUUAGUCGGGCCCUUUAAGCCUUGAAAAAUCAGAAAUUACUGCUUAAUCUUGCCCCAGACCUCUUUCCUCCUAAAUCUGAACAAUAGGGAAAUGUACUGUUGCAUAGCUUAGCACAGCCCUUACCUCCAAGGUAAAUGGAUAAGAAAGCUUGCCAUAUAAUCGCUUUAGAUAAUUAUGUUAAUACCGGAGACCAGCACACCUGGUUUGAUUUGGGUGAUCUCUGAUCUGUAAUGAUGGGGUGCUCGGGUCCUUGUGCUUGUGCCCCAAUUUCUCCCUAGUCUCAGAAACACUGUCUCUGACAACCACUCCCCAGCCCAAGGACACUGUGCCUAGCAGUUCUUCUUGCAUGGGCCUCAGAACGACCCUUAUCUCUCUCCCUGGUACAGCUACACAGAGCUGGGCUGCUCAGGCCCCAGCCCUCAGAUCAUGUCUCUGGAAGCCUCCCAGUUCCUUAGUAAGUUCCUGUGUUGUGAGAAAGCUUUCCCUUGUUGCAGAGCAUUCUUUCAUCAAGACAGAGGGAGAGGGGUGCUUUGGCCAGCCCAAGGAGUUUUGUCUUUGGCCAGCCCAAGGACUCUUCCUCCUGCCAGACUCCAAAGAUCCAUACCUCUGUUAUCUCCCUCACGGUCCGGUAUACUCCCUGUACUUUCCCAUCCAUAGCGCCCCCCCUCCCCCAAAGACACCUGCACCUUUGGAUUACCUCAUCCUUCUCCCUGGCAUUUCUUUCCCAUGCUCUUUUCCAUAUAAACCCUAGCUCGACCCCUGAUUGGGGCUGCUUGAUUUGGGUGUGCAUACCCCUUGCAGAUGUGCUCUUUAAUAAACCUCCACAUUAAAUUUCUGAUUGGGUCUCU